Molecule: ribosomal RNA, 488 nt
Filed under: uncultured bacterium
Lineage: Bacteria
Description: bacterial SSU rRNA
Rfam family: Bacterial small subunit ribosomal RNA
Source: RNAcentral
UUGAACGCUGGCGGCAUGCCUAACACAUGCAAGUCGAACGGCAGCACAGCAGUAGCAAUACUGUGGGUGGCGAGUGGCGGACGGGUGAGGAAUACGUCGGAAUCUGCCCAGUCGUGGGGGAUAACUAGCCGAAAGGUUAGCUAAUACCGCAUAUGACCGAGAGGUGAAAGCGGGGACCGCAAGGCCUCGCGCGAUUGGAUGAGCCGACGUCGGAUUAGCUAGUUGGCGGGGUAAAGGCCCACCAAGGCGACGAUCCGUAGCUGGUCUGAGAGGAUGAUCAGCCACACUGGAACUGAGACACGGUCCAGACUCCUACGGGAGGCAGCAGUGGGGAAUAUUGGACAAUGGGCGCAAGCCUGAUCCAGCAAUGCCGCGUGUGUGAAGAAGGCCUUCGGGUUGUAAAGCACUUUUAUCAGGAACGAAAAGCGUUGGAUUAAUACUCUGACGUGCUGACGGUACCUGAGGAAUAAGCACCGGCUAACUUCGUG